UAGGGAAUCUUCCGCAAUGGACGCAAGUCUGACGGAGCAACGCCGCGUGAGUGAAGAAGGAUUUCGGUUCGUAAAACUCUGUUGUUAGAGAAGAACAGCGCAUAGAGUAACUGUUAUGCGUGUGACGGUAUCUAACCAGAAAGCCACGGCUAACUACGUGCCAGCAGCCGCGGUAAUACGUAGGUGGCAAGCGUUGUCCGGAUUUAUUGGGCGUAAAGCGAGCGCAGGCGGUCAAUUAAGUCUGAUGUGAAAGCCCCCGGCUCAACCGAGGAGGGUCAUUGGAAACUGGUUGACUUGAGUGCAGAAGAGGAGAGUGGAAUUCCAUGUGUAGCGGUGAAAUGCGUAGAUAUAUGGAGGAACACCAGUGGCGAAGGCGACUCUCUGGUCUGUAACUGACGCUGAGGCUCGAAAGCGUGGGUAGCAAACAGG
RNAcentral lists this ribosomal RNA (429 nucleotides) under Bacteroidota bacterium. RNAcentral's name for it is "Bacteroidetes bacterium partial 16S ribosomal RNA". It matches the Rfam family "Bacterial small subunit ribosomal RNA", at positions 355 to 776 of the family's 1533-position model. The record is from RNAcentral. Lineage: Bacteria; Pseudomonadati; Bacteroidota.